GAGUAAUGCCUAGGAAUCUGCCUGGUAGUGGGGGAUAACGUUCGGAAACGGACGCUAAUACCGCAUACGUCCUACGGGAGAAAGCAGGGGACCUUCGGGCCUUGCGCUAUCAGAUGAGCCUAGGUCGGAUUAGCUAGUUGGUGAGGUAAUGGCUCACCAAGGCUACGAUCCGUAACUGGUCUGAGAGGAUGAUCAGUCACACUGGAAGGGAGACACGGUCCAGACUCCUACGGGAGGCAGCAGUGGGGAAUAUUG
This 255-nucleotide ribosomal RNA is filed under the name uncultured bacterium. RNAcentral's name for it is "partial 16S ribosomal RNA". It matches the Rfam family "Bacterial small subunit ribosomal RNA", at positions 108 to 366 of the family's 1533-position model. The record is from RNAcentral.